Molecule: long non-coding RNA, 762 nt
Filed under: Ananas comosus (pineapple)
Lineage: Eukaryota; Viridiplantae; Streptophyta; Magnoliopsida; Poales; Bromeliaceae
Description: long non-coding RNA (ACOM_LNC019956)
Source: RNAcentral
AGAGCUAAGGGUUAUUUGUGCAUAAUUUCCUUAUAGUUAAGGAACGGAUUGAACUUGACAUCCUUAGAGUUAAGGAUUGGAUCAUACUCGCUAUAAGUCCUUGCUCGAGGGCGGUAGCUCCCCCUCGAGCGAUGCGCUCCGGAGUUUGUCAUCACUGGGUUGGUGCUGUUCCCCAGAGGACGGUCCCCGUCGGGUUGUAGGAGUCUCCUCGACGAUUUGGGAUUUUGAGUUGGUGAGUUAAUGCGGCGAAACCCACGGGUUAGCCCGAGAUUGAAUGAAAGAUCAAAGAACUUGCAUUCUUCAUGAGUUUUUACAUUGAGCAUUCUUAUUGAUAGCUUUGUUCAGGUAUAUUAGUUGCAUUGUAUAGUUGGUUACUUAUCUGCUUUCUUUCUAUUAUGCUUGAGUUAGACCUAGUGGGAAAGUCGGUAAGAUUGGGGCCGAACCCACUAGGAACUUCGUUGUAGUUCUCACCCCACUAUUUCCAUAGAGCCGGGACCGAGCGAGCCGGCAAGCGACCGCGGUAAAGGUAUCGCGCCGUAGACAGUGACUACCCGAGUCGGGUUUUCAUACUUUGCUAGUAGAUGCAUUCCCUUAUAUAUCAUCUUUUGUAUUUGAUGAUUAAAGAUGUUAAAGCAAAGAAUGUAAUCUUUUAUUUUGAAAUCUUUUAUUUUGAGGAGAUGUGAUGUAAAAAGAAAUGAUGAAAAGCAAUGUAAAGGUAAAUGUGAUAGUUGAAUGCUUGUAAAUGGUUAAAAGUUAAUCAUU